Molecule: long non-coding RNA, 384 nt
Filed under: Chinchilla lanigera (long-tailed chinchilla)
Lineage: Eukaryota; Metazoa; Chordata; Mammalia; Rodentia; Chinchillidae
Description: lncRNA (ENSCLAG00000023321.1)
Source: RNAcentral
CCUCCAUCAGGUGAAGUUGGAGGAAAGGGAAACGAAGGACCCCAGUGCUGAGUUUGGUGUGUCUUCCACAUUCUGAAGUCACCUGCCAGUUGUGCCACCUUGGAGACACCUUCUCUGGGUCCAAUUCCCCAUCCUUCUGCUGAGAAUGAAGAGGUCCAGAUGGGUGACUGUUUCUGUGAUUGAUCAGAUCUCUUCCCAGGGAGAAAAUACACUUUGGCUUGUGACCUUGACGGUUAUUCCCAUCUCGGCAGGUGAUUAUGGUCUGCAACAUGCUCCCCCGGGAGGAAUUACAUGGCUGCGGGGAUGCUCAGAGCAAGAAAGACUCCCCAAAGGUAAAGGAGCAUCUUUGGAGAGCUCAUUUCAUGACUAUGGCUUCUGGAGAUC